GAUGAACGCUAGCGGCAGGCUUAAUACAUGCAAGUCGUACGGGAUCCGAGGUAGCAAUACUUUGGUGAGAGUGGCGCACGGGUGCGUAACACGUAUGCAACCUACCUUUAACCGGGACACAACCUCGAGAAAUUGAGGCUAAUAUCCCAUAACACUGCGAGAUGGCAUCAUUUUGCAGUUAAAACUCCGGUGGUUAUAGAUGGGCAUGCGCGACAUUAGCUAGUUGGUGAGGUAACGGCCCACCAAGGCUACGAUGUCUAGGGGUUCUGAGAGGAUUAUCCCCCACACUGGUACUGAGACACGGACCAGACUCCUACGGGAGGCAGCAGUAAGGAAUAUUGGUCAAUGGGCGCAAGCCUGAACCAGCCAUGCCGCGUGAAGGAUGACGGCCCUAUGGGUUGUAAACUUCUUUUGUACGGGAAAAACCACCGGUCGUGUAUCGGUGCUGAUGGUACCGUAAGAAUAAGCAUCGGCUAACUCCGUGCCAGCAGCCGCGGUAA
RNAcentral lists this ribosomal RNA (500 nucleotides) under uncultured bacterium. Its description in RNAcentral is "bacterial SSU rRNA". It matches the Rfam family "Bacterial small subunit ribosomal RNA", at positions 28 to 523 of the family's 1533-position model. The record is from RNAcentral.